RNAcentral lists this ribosomal RNA (370 nucleotides) under Parvimonas micra. RNAcentral's name for it is "bacterial SSU rRNA". It matches the Rfam family "Bacterial small subunit ribosomal RNA", at positions 1059 to 1428 of the family's 1533-position model. The record is from RNAcentral. Lineage: Bacteria; Bacillati; Bacillota; Tissierellia; Tissierellales; Peptoniphilaceae.
CUCGUGUCGUGAGAUGUUGGGUUAAGUCCCGCAACGAGCGCAACCCUUAUCUUCAGUUGCCAGCACGUAGAGGUGGGAACUCUGGAGAGACUGCCGAUGACAAAUCGGAGGAAGGUGGGGAUGACGUCAAAUCAUCAUGCCCUUUAUGUCUUGGGCUACACACGUGCUACAAUGGUUGGUACAACGAGAAGCGAGAUAGAGAUGUUAAGCGAAACUCUAAAAACCAAUCUCAGUUCGGAUUGUAGGCUGCAACUCGCCUACAUGAAGUCGGAGUUGCUAGUAAUCGCGAAUCAGAAUGUCGCGGUGAAUGCGUUCCCGGGUCUUGUACACACCGCCCGUCACACCAUGGGAGUUGGCAAUACCCGAAGCC